Long non-coding RNA from Beta vulgaris subsp. vulgaris (sugar beet), 304 nucleotides. RefSeq lists it as uncharacterized. The record is from RefSeq and is a predicted model, not a curated record. The transcript has 2 exons. NCBI's taxonomy places the organism in Eukaryota, Viridiplantae, Streptophyta, Magnoliopsida, Caryophyllales, Amaranthaceae.
UAAUCAGUUUCAUUAAGUGGUGCAUAGAUUAUGUUAACAUCAUUCAUGUGGAUUGUACUAUGCAGGGAAGAUAUUGGAAUGAGCCUUAGACUUGUGGUCAACUACAGUGGCAUGAAAAUUAAUACAGUUAAAGGAGUUAUCAGAUUUGCGUUUGAGUUCCAAAUUUUUGUUGUGGAGUUUAAAGUGUACAUGUAAUUAUAUGAGAUUUGUAUUAGAUUUUGUUCUAAGUGUACUAGAAUUUAGUUCUAGAAUUAUUUUUUUACUUGUAUCAACAUUUAUUAUUAAUAAUAAUUGAAUUGAUUAA